GGAGAGGUGGCUCAGUAGUUAAGAGCACUGGCUGCCCUGGCAGAGAACCUGGGUUCAAUUCCCAGUAUCCA
RNAcentral lists this transfer RNA (71 nucleotides) under Neotoma lepida (desert woodrat). It matches the Rfam family "tRNA". From Rfam's summary of the family: Transfer RNA (tRNA) molecules are approximately 80 nucleotides in length. Their secondary structure includes four short double-helical elements and three loops (D, anti-codon, and T loops). Further hydrogen bonds mediate the characteristic L-shaped molecular structure. tRNAs have two regions of fundamental functional importance: the anti-codon, which is responsible for specific mRNA codon recognition, and the 3' end, to which the tRNAs corresponding amino acid is attached (by aminoacyl-tRNA synthetases). tRNAs cope with the degeneracy of the genetic code in two manners: having more than one tRNA (with a specific anti-codon) for a particular amino acid; and 'wobble' base-pairing, i.e. permitting non-standard base-pairing at the 3rd anti-codon position. Lineage: Eukaryota; Metazoa; Chordata; Mammalia; Rodentia; Cricetidae. The record is from Rfam by way of RNAcentral.